GUCUCUGCCUGUGGAGGCUUCCCACCAUCCGCACCGAGCUAAACCAGAGCCUCGAGACCGGGCGAGGCGGAGGAAAACGGCUUUUCAUCGGCCCCACCAAGCUCAGACGCCACCAGCUUUGGCCAGCCUCGUGCCCGCCCCAGUUCGACUAUCCCAGCCCAUCAGCUUCACUUCUCUAAGAUCUCUCAGAAUAAUAGAUGCUGGCCUGAGGAGUGGAAGGAAAGCCAUGGAGGAAGAGAAGAGAAGGAAAGGGAAGCACCAGAGAAAAAAUAGGCAAUAGUAUUUCAGCAGAAAAUGCUUAGCUUUAUUCACCACAAUAUUUAGUUGUAUAAGGAGAGAAGAUAAAGAAAAUUCCAUCCUACAAACCUGCCAUUAUGUCUCUUCCCAAUGAAAGAGUGGCUGUUGCUACAUAUUAUGGUCCUAA
Pantherophis guttatus is the source of this 424-nucleotide non-coding RNA. NCBI's taxonomy places the organism in Eukaryota, Metazoa, Chordata, Lepidosauria, Squamata, Colubridae. The record is from RefSeq and is a predicted model, not a curated record.